This 791-nucleotide ribosomal RNA is filed under the name uncultured crenarchaeote. Its description in RNAcentral is "bacterial SSU rRNA". It matches the Rfam family "Archaeal small subunit ribosomal RNA", at positions 85 to 879 of the family's 1478-position model. The record is from RNAcentral. Lineage: Archaea; Thermoproteati; Thermoproteota.
ACGGCUCAGUAACACGUAGUCAACAUGCCCAGGGGACGUGGAUAACCUCGGGAAACUGAGGAUAAACCGCGAUAAGUCACUACUUCUGGAAUGGGUAAUGACUUAAAUCUAUAUGGCCCCUGGAUUGGACUGCGGCCGAUCAGGCUGUUGGUGAGGUAAUGGCCCACCAAACCUGUAACCGGUACGGGCUCUGAGAGGAGGAGCCCGGAGAUGGGCACUGAGACAAGGGCCCAGGCCCUAUGGGGCGCAGCAGGCGCGAAACCUCUGCAAUAGGCGAAAGCCUGACAGGGUUACUCUGAGUGAUCUCCGUUAAGGAGAUCUUUUGGCACCUCUAAAAAUGGUGCAGAAUAAGGGGUGGGCAAGUCUGGUGUCAGCCGCCGCGGUAAUACCAGCACCCCGAGUGGUCGGGACGUUUAUUGGGCCUAAAGCAUCCGUAGCCGGUUCUACAAGUCUUCCGUUAAAUCCACCUGCUUAACAGAUGGGCUGCGGAAGAUACUAUGGAGCUAGGAGGCGGGAGAGGCAAGCGGUACUCGAUGGGUAGGGGUAAAAUCCGUUGAUCCAUUGAAGACCACCAGUGGCGAAGGCGGCUUGCCAGAACGCGCUCGACGGUGAGGGAUGAAAGCUGGGGGAGCAAACCGGAUUAGAUACCCGGGUAGUCCCAGCUGUAAACGAUGCAGACUCGGUGAUGAAUUGGCUUCAUGCCAAUUCAGUGCCGCAGGGAAGCCGUUAAGUUUGCCGCCUGGGGAGUACGGUCGCAAGACUGAAACUUAAAGGAAUUGGCGGGGGAGCAC